Molecule: unclassified non-coding RNA, 507 nt
Filed under: uncultured Glomus
Lineage: Eukaryota; Fungi; Glomeromycota; Glomeromycetes; Glomerales; Glomeraceae
Description: SSU rRNA
Rfam family: Eukaryotic small subunit ribosomal RNA
Source: RNAcentral
AGCAGCCGCGGUAAUUCCAGCUCCAAUAGCGUAUAUUAAAGUUGUUGCAGUUAAAAAGCUCGUAGUUGAAUUUCGGGAUUGACGUGAUGGUCGUGCCUUACGGGGUAUGAACUGUUGCAGUCAAUUUCUCACCUUCUGGAGAAAUAUGAUGUCCUUAAUUGGGUGUCAUAUGGAACCAGAACUUUUACCUUGAAAAAAUUAGAGUGUUUAAAGCAGGCUUAUUGCUCGAAUACAUUAGCAUGGAAUAAUAAAAUAGGACGGCAUGGUUCUAUUUUGUUGGUUUCUAGGAUCACCGUAAUGAUUAAUAGGGAUAGUUGGGGGCAUUAGUAUUCAAUUGUCAGAGGUGAAAUUCUUGGAUUUAUUGAAGACUAACUACUGCGAAAGCAUUUGCCAAGGAUGUUUUCAUUAAUCAAGAACGAAAGUUAGGGGAUCGAAGACGAUCAGAUACCGUCGUAGUCUUAACCAUAAACUAUGCCGACUAGGAAUCAGACGAUGUUAAUUUUUUUC